RNAcentral lists this long non-coding RNA (217 nucleotides) under Elaeis guineensis (African oil palm). RNAcentral's name for it is "long non-coding RNA (EGUI_LNC019019)". The record is from RNAcentral. Lineage: Eukaryota; Viridiplantae; Streptophyta; Magnoliopsida; Arecales; Arecaceae.
CGUGGAGAUGCGAUGGAUGCAAAAAGAAUGCAUGCACCCGCGGGACCUUCCAAUUAAGACUGUAAAUGGAUUGAAUUGAUCAAUCUGAUCCGUUUAGAUUUGAUCUGAUCUAUUUUUAAAAAUCUAUAGAUCUGGAUUAGAUUUUAAAAUGAGAUAUACUUUAUUUUUUGAAUCAAAUCUAAAUUUAAUGUGUUCGAAUCUAACUCAAUCUAAUCCA